Molecule: ribosomal RNA, 460 nt
Filed under: uncultured bacterium
Lineage: Bacteria
Description: partial 16S ribosomal RNA
Rfam family: Bacterial small subunit ribosomal RNA
Source: RNAcentral
CCUACAGGAGGCAGCAGUGAGGAAUAUUGGUCAAUGGGCGCGAGCCUGAACCAGCCAAGUAGCGUGAAGGAUGACUGCCCUACGGGUUGUAAACUUCUUUUAUAAAGGAAUAAAGUGAGGCACGUGUGCCUUUUUGUAUGUACCUUAUGAAUAAGGAUCGGCUAACUCCGUGCCAGCAGCCGCGGUAAUACGGAGGAUCCGAGCGUUAUCCGGAUUUAUUGGGUUUAAAGGGAGCGUAGAUGGUUUGUUAAGUCAGUUGUGAAAUGUUGCGGCUCAACCGUAAAAUUGCAAUUGAUACUGGCAGCCUUGAGUACAGUUGAGGUAGGCGGAAUGCAUGGUGUAGCGGUGAAAUGCUUAGAUAUCACGAAGAACUCCGAUUGCGAAGGCAGCCUACUAAGCUGCCACUGACAUUGAUGCUCGAAAGUGUGGGUAUCAAACAGGAUUAGAUACCCCAGUAGUC